GUCAAACCCGAAGAAUGCGAAUCGUCCAAACCGGUCAUUCUUACUGCUUUUCGCCUUUUUGAUUUUUGACAAUCUUAAAAUAUGUUUUCUUCUCUUCAUCAAAAAAUAUGUUAAGACUUCUUUCAACAAUUGAUAUUUCUAUUAUUAUUUUAUUAUCAUUAAAAUAACUCAUUCCUAUCAUCAAAGGUUAAAAACUUAAUCGAAAACAAAGAUUCAAAUGAUUAUAAAAAUUUAAGUUAACACUUUACUAAAUACAACAUAUUGAUCAUCCUAAGAAACACUUUAAAAUAAUUUAUAAUUUUACAUGAGGGUUUUAUCACAACACCUAAAGAGCUAAUUUUUUUUAAAAUUUUUUUAGAACAACAUGUGUUUUAUACAUUAUAUAAGAGUCAAAUAAUGUUCUAUUUUGGCAUGCAAAGAGAGAGAAAUAUGGCUGAAAUCAAGUUUUUGUAUGUUGUAAUUUUAUUCCUUUUUCUUUUUAUUGUUCCAGAGAAAAUUGACGCUGCCCCCGCGGCAAUUCCUUGUGGAAAGGAUAGUGACUGUCCACCAAGAACUCCUAUCCGUAAAUAUAAGUGCAUUAGAAACAAAUGUAGACAUACUAGAGUGGUUACAUUUAGGUGACACAAAGAAGGAUACUAUUCUAUAAAAAAAAAAUUGUAACCGGUAUACUCUCUAGUAGAUUAGUCGGUACGAAAAGAAAGAUCCUAUUCUAUGAAAAAAAUUUAUUACAUUUACGUGAUACAAGGAAGAAUAAAUUCUUGUAAUAGAAAAAAAAAAACAAAAUUUUCAGUAUACUUAUUUUAUAGAAUAAUUCAUAAUUUAUUUAAAAAAAAUUAAUUUUACCAACCUUACCAUUAUUUCUUUGUA
Molecule: long non-coding RNA, 867 nt
Organism: Vicia villosa (hairy vetch)
Lineage: Eukaryota; Viridiplantae; Streptophyta; Magnoliopsida; Fabales; Fabaceae
Exons: 2
Source: RefSeq, a predicted model, not a curated record